RNAcentral lists this long non-coding RNA (740 nucleotides) under Callithrix jacchus (white-tufted-ear marmoset). RNAcentral describes it as "lncRNA (ENSCJAG00000058643.2)". Lineage: Eukaryota; Metazoa; Chordata; Mammalia; Primates; Cebidae. The record is from RNAcentral.
UAUUUUUAUUUGUUUCGGUUUUAAAGUUUUGAUUCGGGUACAUCUGAAUAAAUUUUCACAAACUUGACAAACCCAUAUAACAAGAACUUAGAGGAAAUAAAAAAAGAACAUUGCAUCCCAGAACCCCCCUCCUGCCCCCUUCCAGUACCUACUUCCAACAUCCGAAGAAUAAUGAUUACCUAGACUUCUAACAGACUUUAUGUAAAUGGAAUCAUAGUGCAUGCAUUCUUUUUGUGUCAGGGUUUUUCACUCUUUGUAAGUUUCAGCUACCUCAUGUACAGCUGAGGGUUCUUCAUAUUCUUCCUUGUUUGAUAUUGCCUACAGUUUCGCUCUUGUUACCCAGGCUGGAGUGCAAUGGAGUGAUCUCGGCUCACGGCAACCUCUGCCUCCUGAAUUCAGGCAAUACUCCUACCUCAGCCUCCUGAGUAGCUGGGAUUACAGUGUGUUUCAUUGUCAGUUAUUGGACCAUUCUUGUUUAAAACCUCACUGACAUGUUUCAUUCCAAUGUACCCUUGGAGCACUGCUUAUGAUCAAAUGCCAUCAUCUAUAUUAUGAAAUCUCACCAGACUGCAUCCUGCCAUAAGGUUCAAAAGCUGCUGUGUCUCUUCUUCUCUGAAGCCCCUUUGAUGUCCCCUGCCUGCAGCCAAGACCAUGACUGGAGUGCAGUGGUGCAAUCUUGGAUUAUGGCAACCUCCGCUUCCGAGGUUCAAGAGAGUCUUCUCCCUCAGCCUCCCGAAUAG